GCAUAUCAAUAAGCGGAGGAAAAAGAAACUAACAAGGAUUCCCCCUAGUAACUGCGAGUGAAGCGGGAAGAGCUCAAAUUUAAAAUCUGGCGGUCUUUGGCCGUCCGAGUUGUAGUCUGGAGAAGUGCUUUCCGCGCUGGACCGUGUAUAAGUCUCUUGGAACAGAGCGUCAUAGAGGGUGAGAAUCCCGUCUCUGACACGGACUACCAGUGCUUUGUGAUGCGCUCUCAAAGAGUCGAGUUGUUUGGGAAUGCAGCUCAAAAUGGGUGGUAAAUUCCAUCUAAAGCUAAAUAUUGGCGAGAGACCGAUAGCGAACAAGUACCGUGAGGGAAAGAUGAAAAGCACUUUGGAAAGAGAGUUAAACAGUACGUGAAAUUGCUGAAAGGGAAACGCUUGAAGUCAGUCGCGUUGUUCGGAACUCAGCCUUGCUUUCGCUUGGUGCACUUUCUGAAUGACGGGCCAGCAUCGAUUUCGACCGUCGGAAAAGGGUUGGGGGAAUGUGGCACCUUCGGGUGUGUUAUAGCCCCUGGUCGCAUGCGGCGGUUGGGAUCGAGGAACGCAGCGCGCCGCAAGGCAGGGACUUUGUCCACUUUCGCGCUUAGGAUGCUGGCAUAAUGGCUUUAAACGACCCGUCUUGAAACACGGACCAAGGAGUCUAACAUACCUGCGAGUGUUUGGGUGGAAAACCCGAGCGCGUAAUGAAAGUGAAAGUUGAGACCCUCUGUCGUGGAGGGCACCGACGCCCGGACCUGACGUUCUCUGACGGAUCCGCGGUAGAGCAUGUAUGUUGGGACCCGAAAGAUGGUGAACUAUGCCUGAAUAGGGUGAAGCCAGAGGAAACUCUGGUGGAGGCUCGUAGCGAUUCUGACGUGCAAAUCGAUCGUCAAAUUGGGUAUAGGGGCGAAAGACUAAUCGAACCCAUCUAGUAGCUGGUUCCUGCCGA
Molecule: ribosomal RNA, 943 nt
Filed under: Polyporus tuberaster
Lineage: Eukaryota; Fungi; Basidiomycota; Agaricomycetes; Polyporales; Polyporaceae
Description: LSU rRNA
Rfam family: Eukaryotic large subunit ribosomal RNA
Source: RNAcentral